Molecule: ribosomal RNA, 490 nt
Filed under: uncultured bacterium
Lineage: Bacteria
Description: partial 16S ribosomal RNA
Rfam family: Bacterial small subunit ribosomal RNA
Source: RNAcentral
AGUGAACGCUGGCGGCAGGCCUAACACAUGCAAGUCGAACGGCAGCACAAGAGAGCUUGCUCUCUGGGUGGCGAGUGGCGGACGGGUGAGGAAUGCAUCGGAAUCUGCCCAUUUGUGGGGGAUAACCUCGGGAAACCGGGACUAAUACCGCAUACGACCUACGGGUGAAAGCAGGGGAUCUUCGGACCUUGCGCAGAUGGAUGAGCCGAUGCCGGAUUAGCUAGUUGGAGGGGUAAAGGCCCACCAAGGCGACGAUCCGUAGCUGGUCUGAGAGGAUGAUCAGCCACACGGGGACUGAGACACGGCCCAGACUCCUACGGGAGGCAGCAGUGGGGAAUAUUGGACAAUGGGCGCAAGCCUGAUCCAGCCAUGCCGCGUGUGUGAAGAAGGCCUUCGGGUUGUAAAGCACUUUUGUUGGGAAAGAAAAGCAGCCGGUUAAUACCCGGUUGUCAUGACGGUACCCAAAGAAUAAGCACCGGCUAACUUCGUG